This 249-nucleotide long non-coding RNA is filed under the name Leguminivora glycinivorella. RNAcentral describes it as "uncharacterized LOC125228844". The record is from RNAcentral. Lineage: Eukaryota; Metazoa; Arthropoda; Insecta; Lepidoptera; Tortricidae.
UGUGAGUGGUUCGAUUUUUAGGUUAUAUUCCCGUAAAUAAAACAACUUUCCUUAUUUUCUAAUCAGGUGGUGGUUUAUUAAUACAUAAAACCAAAGGUUUUCCCUUCACAUCCUUCAUAAAAAAUAAAAAAAAAAUAAAAAUACCGAACAUUCUCCUCACGUGUGAAAGUCAAAGCUACGAUAACACCAAGCCAACACUGACAUUGGCAAAUUCACCCUGUGCAAAUUGGCAGGGAGUAAAAGCCAAAG